UACGGGAGGCAGCAGUGGGGAAUAUUGCACAAUGGGCGCAAGCCUGAUGCAGCCAUGCCGCGUGUAUGAAAAAGGCCUUCGGGUUGUAAAGUACUUUCAGUCGUGAGGAAGGUGUUAAGGUUAAUAACCUUAGCAAUUGACGUUAGCGACAGAAGAAGCACCGGCUAACUCCGUGCCAGCAGCCGCGGUAAUACGGAGGGUGCGAGCGUUAAUCGGAAUUACUGGGCGUAAAGGGCACGCAGGCGGUUAAUUAAGUUGGAUGUGAAAUCCCCGGGCUUAACCUGGGAAUGGCAUUCAAGACUGGUUAGCUAGAGUCUUGUAGAGGGGGGUAGAAUUCCAUGUGUAGCGGUGAAAUGCGUAGAGAUGUGGAGGAAUACCGGUGGCGAAGGCGGCCCCUGGGACAAAGACUGACGCUCAUGUGCGAAAGCGUGGGGAGCAAACAGGGAUUAGAUACCC
Molecule: ribosomal RNA, 456 nt
Filed under: uncultured bacterium
Lineage: Bacteria
Description: bacterial SSU rRNA
Rfam family: Bacterial small subunit ribosomal RNA
Source: RNAcentral